This 776-nucleotide ribosomal RNA is filed under the name uncultured Acidobacteriota bacterium. RNAcentral's name for it is "bacterial SSU rRNA". It matches the Rfam family "Bacterial small subunit ribosomal RNA", at positions 15 to 774 of the family's 1533-position model. The record is from RNAcentral. Lineage: Bacteria; Pseudomonadati; Acidobacteriota.
GAUCCUGGCUCAGAAUCAACGCUGGCGGCGUGCCUAACACAUGCAAGUCGAACGCGGUUACCCCGCAAGGGGUAGCUGAGUGGCGAACGGGUGAGUAACACGUGGGUGACCUACCUUCGAGUGGGGGAUAACGUCCCGAAAGGGACGCUAAUACCGCAUAACAUCCUGUCCUUGAACGGAUGGAGAUCAAAGCCGGGGAUCGCAAGACCUGGCGUUUGAAGAGGGGCCCGCGUCUGAUUAGCUAGUUGGUGGGGUAACGGCUCACCAAGGCGACGAUCAGUAUCCGGCCUGAGAGGGCGGACGGACACACUGGGACUGAGACACGGCCCAGACUCCUACGGGAGGCAGCAGUGGGGAAUUGUUCGCAAUGGGCGCAAGCCUGACGACGCAACGCCGCGUGGAGGAUGAAGGUCUUCGGAUUGUAAACUCCUGUUGCUCGGGACGAAAAGCUUCAACCUAAUACGUUGAAGUCUGACGGUACCGAGUGAGGAAGCCCCGGCUAACUCUGUGCCGGCAGCCGCGGUAAUACAGAGGGGGCAAGCGUUGUUCGGAAUUACUGGGCGUAAAGGGCGCGUAGGUGGCCUGUUAAGUCGAACGUGAAAUCCCUGGGCUCAACCCAGGAACUGCGUCCGAGACUGAUAGGCUCGAAUCCGGGAGAGGGAUGUGGAAUUCCAGGUGUAGCGGUGAAAUGCGUAGAUAUCUGGAGGAACACCGGUGGCGAAGGCGACAUCCUGGACCGGUAUGACGCUGAGGCGCGAAAGCCAGGGGAGCAAACG